Molecule: ribosomal RNA, 253 nt
Filed under: uncultured bacterium
Lineage: Bacteria
Description: partial 16S ribosomal RNA
Rfam family: Bacterial small subunit ribosomal RNA
Source: RNAcentral
UACAGAGGGUGCAAGCGUUGUUCGGAAUUAUUGGGCGUAAAGGGCGCGUAGGCGGUGCGGUAAGUCACCUGUGAAAUCUCCUGGCUUAACUGGGAGCCUGCAGGCGAAACUACCGUGCUGGAGUGUGGGAGAGGUGCGUGGAAUUCCCGGUGUAGAGGUGAAAUUCGUAGAUAUCGGGAGGAACACCAGUGGCGAAGGCGGCGAUCUGGGAAGUUACUGACGCUGAGAGGCGAAAGCGUGGGGAGCAAACAGG